UCCCUGGUGGUCCAGUGGUUAGGACUCAGUGCUUUCACGGCCGUGGCCCAGGUUCAGUUCCUGGUCAGGGAG
Molecule: non-coding RNA, 72 nt
Organism: Lipotes vexillifer (Yangtze River dolphin)
Lineage: Eukaryota; Metazoa; Chordata; Mammalia; Artiodactyla; Lipotidae
Source: the annotation of a RefSeq genome assembly